CUGUAGCAUGAUCUAGACGCGUCUCUUCACCUGUUGUUGAGCGUACUACAUUGAGGAUCUCAGCCCGCUAGGUUGUGAUUAUCAGGUUUGAUGGUUCUGCUGUCAACAGAGCAUCACUACUAUCUUCUCCUGGUGUGUUUAUCCUCAGAGAGAUUCAUCACCUGGAGAGGGUUCAGUCGCUCCAAGCAGCACCAUGGUUACCUGCCCUGAGGGCCGGGGCGUUGCUACACGGAGAAGACUCUCACCAAGCCUCUCACCUGAGAGCCACAGCUCCUCACCUGAGAGCCUUGCAGCAGAGCCCAGAGCAGCUGGAGCGGAGAGAGGAGCUGGAUGGAGUGAUAGCAUGUAGCUUCUGGAUCUACCGCCGUGCAGAGAGAGAGCCUGAAGGCCUCAGAGAUGAAGACGAUGGGACCAGACCAGCCCUGCAACCGACGGAGGAAGACCUCUGAAAGGAUGAGGAGACCCUCUGCUGACCCUGAUGGAAGCAAAAGGGCUUUACUCAGGAGAAUCAGGUAGCAUGAAGUGAAGGAAACAUACUGGACCACAUAGCUUUAUUGGAAUGGACAGCUUGUGUGUGUGUGUGUGUGUGUGUGUGUGUGUGUGUGUGUGUGUGUGUGUGUGUGUGUGUGUGUGUGUGUGUGUGUGUGUGUGUGUGUGUGUGUGUGUGUGUGCUGUGGUGUAUGAUUACAACGAAUCCUCCUCAAGUCAUCUAAAACUGGCUUCAGUUUAGCCAAUUAAUAUUCUAAAAUCCACCCAUUUGGAUAGAAAUUACAUUACCAGUAAGAAAACUAAAUGCAUACAUUUGAUGUUGUCAUAGCGACCUGACUACUAUUGUACAUUAAAUAUAAUACAGGAUUCACCCAGAGGCCCAGAGGAUUCUGGGUAAUUCCAUCAUCGCUUUAGUUUGCCUGGAACGUUUAGAAGACCUAGCUGGGACUUGCCCGACGUUGCACUCCACAGCCCUGGGGCCCACGGUGACUCUGACACGGGUCCAAUGGCCACCUCACCGGCCUCAGCCCGGGCCUGCGCUGGUCCAUUCUUCUCAUCAGGUAUGACCAGCAUAGGACCUUAGAAGGUCAUGGUCGACGGUCAGUCCUAACGUUGUGGCAGUGGACAGAUUCACUUUGGAUAAAACAACCUGCUAACUUAAUUAAGAGUGCUAGCACAUAAACAACUCUGCACUACAUUUGAAUGAAAGUCAUUGUAAAUUGUAUUGAUAAGUUAAAUUUAUGUUUGAUUGGAAAACCCAUUUUGUAAUAUU
This 1261-nucleotide long non-coding RNA is filed under the name Gadus morhua (Atlantic cod). Its description in RNAcentral is "lncRNA (ENSGMOG00000032455.1)". Lineage: Eukaryota; Metazoa; Chordata; Actinopteri; Gadiformes; Gadidae. The record is from RNAcentral.